Cucumis sativus (cucumber) is the source of this 453-nucleotide long non-coding RNA. RefSeq lists it as uncharacterized. The transcript is spliced from 2 exons. Lineage: Eukaryota; Viridiplantae; Streptophyta; Magnoliopsida; Cucurbitales; Cucurbitaceae. The record is from RefSeq and is a predicted model, not a curated record.
CAACUGCCGUUGUAACCGUCGGCCGCCGCGUGACCUCUGCCCAGUUCCGCCGCGCAACACCUGUCUCCGUCGAAGCCAAGCCAGCCGCCAUCCAUUCCUUUCCUUUCUCCUCUGUUUUCAGCACUGUCGCGCGACCGCUAACCGACCCACAUUUAGGAUUUUUGCUGCGAGUUCGACAUUCGUGCGUUGAGGUGUUGGGAGUAUCGUUAGACUCCCUUACAUUCACAAUCAGUUUGUGAAUUGUUGAGGGUUCAGUUCGCCAAUAUUUCGGAUUGUUUCGAGGACGUUAGUUGAUUAAGAAGCUUCCCCAACUUUGAGGUAAGGGACUUUCUACUGGACUCACCUAAAGUUUUUGAGUUGUGUUGGACUGUAUGGAUGAUGAUUAAGAUGUACAUGUUUGGUUGCAGACUAAAUGUUUAGUGUAUGUUGUAUUUGACUGGAAACAUAUAUAUA